CUGGUACUCCCUCCGUCCGGAAAUACUUGUCAUCAACAUGGAUAAAAGGAGAUGUAUUUAGAUGUAUUUUAGUUCACAUCUUUUUAUCCAUUUUGAUGACAAGUAUUUUCGGAUGGAGGGAGUACAAG
Molecule: non-coding RNA, 128 nt
Organism: Triticum aestivum (bread wheat)
Lineage: Eukaryota; Viridiplantae; Streptophyta; Magnoliopsida; Poales; Poaceae
Source: Rfam